GGGGCAAUGGCGCAUCUGGGAGCGCGUCAGACUGAAGUUCCAACUUUAGCCACUGGAUUCGUCUUGCGGGAUGUUUCUGUAAUCUGAAGGUGGCCGGUUCAAGCCCGGCUUGCCCCA
Non-coding RNA from Aspergillus ellipticus CBS 707.79, 117 nucleotides. The record is from the annotation of a GenBank genome assembly. NCBI's taxonomy places the organism in Eukaryota, Fungi, Ascomycota, Eurotiomycetes, Eurotiales, Aspergillaceae.